RNAcentral lists this ribosomal RNA (301 nucleotides) under uncultured bacterium. Its description in RNAcentral is "partial 16S ribosomal RNA". It matches the Rfam family "Bacterial small subunit ribosomal RNA", at positions 509 to 807 of the family's 1533-position model. The record is from RNAcentral.
CAGCAGCCACGGUAAUACGAAGGGGGCUAGCGUUGCUCGGAAUUACUGGGCGUAAAGGGCGCGUAGGCGGACAGUUCAGUCGGGGGUGAAAGCCCGGGGCUCAACCUCGGAAUUGCCUUCGAUACUGACUGUCUUGAGUAUGAGAGAGGUGUGUGGAACUCCGAGUGUAGAGGUGAAAUUCGUAGAUAUUCGGAAGAACACCAGUGGCGAAGGCGACACACUGGCUCAUUACUGACGCUGAGGCGCGAAAGCGUGGGGAGCAAACAGGAUUAGAUACCCCCGUAGUCCCUGUCUCUUAUAC